RNAcentral lists this microRNA precursor (99 nucleotides) under Drosophila pseudoobscura. RNAcentral describes it as "microRNA dps-mir-276a precursor". Its record names the gene dps-mir-276a. The stretch from base 1 to 89 matches the Rfam family "mir-276 microRNA precursor family". RNAcentral also lists the same sequence under 1 other name. Lineage: Eukaryota; Metazoa; Arthropoda; Insecta; Diptera; Drosophilidae. The record is from miRBase by way of RNAcentral.
CCUGGUUUUUGCCAUCAGCGAGGUAUAGAGUUCCUACGUUCAUAUUAUAAACUCGUAGGAACUUCAUACCGUGCUCUUGGAAGACCAAAAGACAACGAA